Molecule: ribosomal RNA, 207 nt
Filed under: uncultured bacterium
Lineage: Bacteria
Description: partial 16S ribosomal RNA
Rfam family: Bacterial small subunit ribosomal RNA
Source: RNAcentral
UCUCAGUUCGGAUUGGAGUCUGNAACCCGACUCCAUGAAGCUGGAUUCGCUAGUAAUCGCGCAUCAGCCACGGCGCGGUGAAUACGUUCCCGGGCCUUGUACACACCGCCCGUCAAGCCAUGGAAGCCGGGAGUGCCUGAAGUACGCGACCGCAAGGAGCGUCCUAAGGUAAAACCGGUGACUGGGGCUAAGUCGUAACAAGGUACC